GUGGGGAAUCUUGCGCAAUGGGGGCAACCCUGACGCAGCCAUGCCGCGUGAACGAUGAAGGCCUUAGGGUUGUAAAGUUCUUUUACCCGUGACGAUGAUGACGGUAACGGGGGAAUAAGCUCCGGCUAACUUCGUGCCAGCAGCCGCGGUAAUACGAAGGGGGCUAGCGUUGUUCGGAAUUACUGGGCGUAAAGCGCGCGCAGGCGGUUCGAUAAGUUGGGGGUGAAAUCCCCGGGCUCAACCCGGGAAUGGCCUUCAAGACUGUCGAGCUAGAGGACGAGAGAGGUGAGUGGAAUUCCCAGUGUAGAGGUGAAAUUCGUAGAUAUUGGGAAGAACACCGGUGGCGAAGGCGGCUCACUGGCUCGUUUCUGACGCUGAGGCGCGAAAGCGUGGGGAGCAAACAGGAUUAGAUACCCCAGUAGUCC
Molecule: ribosomal RNA, 425 nt
Filed under: uncultured bacterium
Lineage: Bacteria
Description: bacterial SSU rRNA
Rfam family: Bacterial small subunit ribosomal RNA
Source: RNAcentral